RNAcentral lists this transfer RNA (73 nucleotides) under Marmota monax (woodchuck). It matches the Rfam family "tRNA". From Rfam's summary of the family: Transfer RNA (tRNA) molecules are approximately 80 nucleotides in length. Their secondary structure includes four short double-helical elements and three loops (D, anti-codon, and T loops). Further hydrogen bonds mediate the characteristic L-shaped molecular structure. tRNAs have two regions of fundamental functional importance: the anti-codon, which is responsible for specific mRNA codon recognition, and the 3' end, to which the tRNAs corresponding amino acid is attached (by aminoacyl-tRNA synthetases). tRNAs cope with the degeneracy of the genetic code in two manners: having more than one tRNA (with a specific anti-codon) for a particular amino acid; and 'wobble' base-pairing, i.e. permitting non-standard base-pairing at the 3rd anti-codon position. Lineage: Eukaryota; Metazoa; Chordata; Mammalia; Rodentia; Sciuridae. The record is from Rfam by way of RNAcentral.
UAGGGUAUAGCUCAGUGGUACAGCACUUGCCUAGCGUGCAUUGAGGCCCUGGGUUCAAUCCCUAGUACCAUAC